RNAcentral lists this ribosomal RNA (879 nucleotides) under uncultured bacterium. Its description in RNAcentral is "bacterial SSU rRNA". It matches the Rfam family "Bacterial small subunit ribosomal RNA", at positions 8 to 916 of the family's 1533-position model. The record is from RNAcentral.
AGAGUUUGAUCAUGGCUCAGGAUGAACGCUGGCGGCGUGCCUAACACAUGCAAGUCGAGCGAUUUACUUCGGUAAAGAGCGGCGGACGGGUGAGUAACGCGUGGGUAACCUGCCCUGUACACACGGAUAACAUACCGAAAGGUAUGCUAAUACGAGAUAAUAUGCUUUUAUCGCAUGGUAGAAGUAUCAAAGCUUUUGCGGUACAGGAUGGACCCGCGUCUGAUUAGCUAGUUGGUAAGGUGAUGGCUUACCAAGGCGACGAUCAGUAGCCGACCUGAGAGGGUGAUCGGCCACAUUGGAACUGAGACACGGUCCAAACUCCUACGGGAGGCAGCAGUGGGGAAUAUUGCACAAUGGGCGAAAGCCUGAUGCAGCAACGCCGCGUGAGCGAUGAAGGCCUUCGGGUCGUAAAGCUCUGUCCUCAAGGAAGAUAAUGACGGUACUUGAGGAGGAAGCCCCGGCUAACUACGUGCCAGCAGCCGCGGUAAUACGUAGGGGGCUAGCGUUAUCCGGAAUUACUGGGCGUAAAGGGUGCGUAGGUGGUUUCUUAAGUCAGAGGUGAAAGGCUACGGCUCAACCGUAGUAAGCCUUUGAAACUGGGAAACUUGAGUGCAGGAGAGGAGAGUGGAAUUCCUAGUGUAGCGGUGAAAUGCGUAGAUAUUAGGAGGAACACCAGUUGCGAAGGCGGCUCUCUGGACUGUAACUGACACUGAGGCACGAAAGCGUGGGGAGCAAACAGGAUUAGAUACCCUGGUAGUCCACGCCGUAAACGAUGAGUACUAGCUGUCGGAGGUUACCCCCUUCGGUGGCGCAGCUAACGCAUUAAGUACUCCGCCUGGGAAGUACGCUCGCAAGAGUGAAACUCAAAGGAAUUGACGG